This 84-nucleotide transfer RNA is filed under the name Streptomyces phage Beuffert. RNAcentral describes it as "tRNA-Leu". It matches the Rfam family "tRNA". From Rfam's summary of the family: Transfer RNA (tRNA) molecules are approximately 80 nucleotides in length. Their secondary structure includes four short double-helical elements and three loops (D, anti-codon, and T loops). Lineage: Duplodnaviria; Heunggongvirae; Uroviricota; Caudoviricetes; Stanwilliamsviridae. The record is from RNAcentral.
GCACGUAUGGCGGAAUGGCAGACGCGCUAGCUUGAGGUGCUAGUCUCGGAAACGGGGUGGGAGUUCGACUCUCCCUAUGUGCAC